GGGAAGUUGGCUCAGUGGUAGAGUGCUUGCCUCUCAUGCAUGAGGUCCUGGGUUCGAGUCCUCAGUACCA
Dipodomys ordii (Ord's kangaroo rat) is the source of this 70-nucleotide non-coding RNA. Lineage: Eukaryota; Metazoa; Chordata; Mammalia; Rodentia; Heteromyidae. The record is from Rfam.